UACGUAUGGUGCAAGCGUUAUCCGGAUUUACUGGGUGUAAAGGGAGCGUAGACGGCAAUGCAAGUCUGGAGUGAAAGGCGGGGGCCCAACCCCCGGACUGCUCUGGAAACUGUAUAGCUGGAGUGCAGGAGAGGUAAGUGGAAUUCCUAGUGUAGCGGUGAAAUGCGUAGAUAUUAGGAGGAACACCAGUGGCGAAGGCGGCUUACUGGACUGUAACUGACGUUGAGGCUCGAAAGCGUGGGGAGCAAACAGG
RNAcentral lists this ribosomal RNA (253 nucleotides) under uncultured bacterium. RNAcentral describes it as "partial 16S ribosomal RNA". It matches the Rfam family "Bacterial small subunit ribosomal RNA", at positions 524 to 776 of the family's 1533-position model. The record is from RNAcentral.